Molecule: long non-coding RNA, 845 nt
Organism: Nicotiana attenuata
Lineage: Eukaryota; Viridiplantae; Streptophyta; Magnoliopsida; Solanales; Solanaceae
Exons: 2
Source: RefSeq, a predicted model, not a curated record
UUAGACCCCCUUAGUCCCUAUAACACAAACUCACUCUAGGGUUCCUAAUCCCAUUUUGUCCUAGCCGCCUCUCUCCCAUUUCUCCUCUUGGACUAUAAUCCAAACCUCCAUCACCCUUAGCAGUAUUUGUUACUCCAUUUUAGUGUAAGCUUUGUACACAUUUUCAGCCAUUCCCGAGCCCUUCCCUUCCUUCUAUUUUCGUGAAUGAUGGCAUAUCAAAAUCAAGAGAAAAUCAGUCCCAAAUCUCACCAUUUCCAGCUAUUCUUGGAUGAAUCAAAUAUGUGAUCAAAAUCUCAAACGUUCGAAAUUCAAAAUUGUUUGACCAUGCUCAGAUCUGAAAGGAAAUCCCGCCCAAAAAAUCAAAACCCUAGUUGUUUCAUCUAUAAAUACCUCUCUAAGUCUCAGCCGAAAGAGAGGGCUAAAAAAAAACCCUCGAAAAUCAGUUUGAUACCAUCUGUGGGAAAUCUCUCAAUUUCUUGUCUCUAUUUCAUAUUAUCAGUAAUUAAGGAGUAGAUCUGAAGCGACCUUUAAGCCUUUGUUCACUGCACCACACAAGAGCAAAUUUGGCGUCUUAAUGCAAGACUCGCCCAUGCCCGAGCACGGAGUCAAUACAUAUUCCCAUAUCCUUAGAGUCAUUGGAUAGCGAGAAAACAAGCGAAACGCUUGGGGGAGCCUAUGGCGUCCUUCCUUUAGCUCUUUUGUCAUUCGUUUAUUCUAACAUAUAUUAUAAUUUUUGAGCCUAUGGCGUCCUUCCUUUAGCUCUUUUGUCAUUCGUUUAUUCUAACAUAUAUUAUAAUUUUUGUGUAUUUGGGUAGUUAUUUUUUUCAAGUGUGAAUUUAAUCAUC